This 793-nucleotide ribosomal RNA is filed under the name uncultured bacterium. RNAcentral's name for it is "bacterial SSU rRNA". It matches the Rfam family "Bacterial small subunit ribosomal RNA", at positions 8 to 796 of the family's 1533-position model. The record is from RNAcentral.
AGAGUUUGAUCAUGGCUCAGAUUGAACGCUGGCGGCAUGCCUUACACAUGCAAGUCGAACGGCAGCACGGAGCUUGCUCUGGUGGCGAGUGGCGAACGGGUGAGUAAUAUAUCGGAACGUACCCUAGAGUGGGGGAUAACGUAGCGAAAGUUACGCUAAUACCGCAUACGAUCUAAGGAUGAAAGUGGGGGAUCGCAAGACCUCAUGCUCGUGGAGCGGCCGAUAUCUGAUUAGCUAGUUGGUAGGGUAAAAGCCUACCAAGGCAUCGAUCAGUAGCUGGUCUGAGAGGACGACCAGCCACACUGGAACUGAGACACGGUCCAGACUCCUACGGGAGGCAGCAGUGGGGAAUUUUGGACAAUGGGCGAAAGCCUGAUCCAGCAAUGCCGCGUGAGUGAAGAAGGCCUUCGGGUUGUAAAGCUCUUUUGUCAGGGAAGAAACGGUGAGAGCUAAUAUCUCUUGCUAAUGACGGUACCUGAAGAAUAAGCACCGGCUAACUACGUGCCAGCAGCCGCGGUAAUACGUAGGGUGCAAGCGUUAAUCGGAAUUACUGGGCGUAAAGCGUGCGCAGGCGGUUUUGUAAGUCUGAUGUGAAAUCCCCGGGCUCAACCUGGGAAUUGCAUUGGAGACUGCAAGGCUAGAAUCUGGCAGAGGGGGGUAGAAUUCCACGUGUAGCAGUGAAAUGCGUAGAUAUGUGGAGGAACACCGAUGGCGAAGGCAGCCCCCUGGGUCAAGAUUGACGCUCAUGCACGAAAGCGUGGGGAGCAAACAGGAUUAGAUACCCUGGUAGUCC